AACAAACACAUGAUUUCAUGUAGACACAUGGAUGAAUUGUUGUGACCAUGUGGAUAUUAAUCAAGGAGAUAGAAUAUAGAGAUGGUUAAUUGGCGAGCUUGAAAUUGAUUUUAAAAAUUAUUAUGAAACAACCAACAAAUUGCUCUGAUCCGAUGUCAUGUCAACAUGUAACCAAGAGGGAAAACUUUCUUGAAAAGCAUUGGAAAAAAAAUCUCUGAAUGUCUGAAUGUUUAUUUGGCAUUUGUGAAGCAAUGCACAAAGGGAGUGAACAAACAAAUUCGUCAUGAUCCCUCAGUCAUCCUAACAUCCUUAUAUAUUAAUCUCCUAGUUAAGUUCUUACUUGAGGCGACAACGGGUCUGGAAAGAAUAAUGAACGAAGAAUUAAACUAAUGCUUAGAGAUUAAUCCUCCCGCAUGGGCAGAACCACACACACCACACAAUGCAAAAGCAGCCCGCGAUGCAGCACACGCACAAUCAACAAAACAAACAUAAUAUAUAGUGAGCACGAAUUUAGAACCAUAAAAGUAGCAAGGGAAAAAGAAGAAGAAUAUGAAGAGAACGUCGUUCGGUGGGACUUAAUGCCCCUGCUGAAAAUGAGGAUAUGGGAAGUUAAAGCUUCAUGGAGAAACUACGGAUCAGAAGAUUGUGGAUCAUUGAGCCCCAUGUACAAAAAAGGGCACUAUCCUGCAGCAAAAAUACAUUAAAGAAAUCACAUCUAAAGGAGAGUAGGGUAUGUUCACUUGUUCAGAACUACAACUAAAAAUGCAAGAAGGAGCGGGGGCUUUUAUAAGCAUAUACGGGCGAUAGAGUUGCGGCAAGCUGGACACAAGAUGGGCGGCUAAGCGGUGCAUGUUGAUCUAUUCACUAGAGUCUUCAAGAGAGAGUCAAAGAGGACAUGUGGAGGAAAU
Molecule: long non-coding RNA, 908 nt
Filed under: Hordeum vulgare
Lineage: Eukaryota; Viridiplantae; Streptophyta; Magnoliopsida; Poales; Poaceae
Description: long non-coding RNA (HVUL_LNC012883)
Source: RNAcentral